UACGUAGGUGGCAAGCGUUGUCCGGAAUUACUGGGUGUAAAGGGCGAGUAGGCGGGUAUGCAAGUCAGAUGUGAAAUACCGAGGCUUAACCUCGGGGCUGCAUUUGAAACUGUAAAUCUUGAGUGAUGGAGAGGCAGGCGGAAUUCCCGGUGUAGCGGUGAAAUGCAUAGAGAUCGGGAGGAACACCAGUGGCGAAGGCGGCCUGCUGGACAUUAACUGACGCUGAGGCGCGAAAGUGUGGGGAGCAAACAGGAUUAGAUACCCUGGUAGUUCACACCGUAAACGAUGGAUACUAGGUGUGCGGGGUCUGACCCCCUGCGUGCCGGAGUAAACACAAUAAGUAUCCCACCUGGGGAGUACGAUCGCAAGAUUGAAACUCAAAGGAAUUGACGGGGGCCCGCACAAGCAGUGGAGUAUGUUGUUUAAUUCGACGCAACGCGAAGAACCUUACCAGGGUUUGACAUCCAAAGAACGACGUUGAAAGACGUUGAUGCCCUUCGGGGAGCUUUGAGACAGGUGGUGCAUGGUU
RNAcentral lists this ribosomal RNA (529 nucleotides) under uncultured bacterium. RNAcentral's name for it is "bacterial SSU rRNA". It matches the Rfam family "Bacterial small subunit ribosomal RNA", at positions 524 to 1050 of the family's 1533-position model. The record is from RNAcentral.